GCGGCCGUGGCGAAAUUGGUAGACGCGCAGCGUUGAGGUCGCUGUGAGGCAACUCUUGGAAGUUCAAAUCUUCUCGGCCGCACCA
RNAcentral lists this transfer RNA (85 nucleotides) under Holosporales bacterium. RNAcentral's name for it is "tRNA-Leu". It matches the Rfam family "tRNA". From Rfam's summary of the family: Transfer RNA (tRNA) molecules are approximately 80 nucleotides in length. The record is from RNAcentral. Lineage: Bacteria; Pseudomonadati; Pseudomonadota; Alphaproteobacteria; Holosporales.